AGAUGUAGCAUGAUAACAAGAUGCUAAGACCCAUGAGAAAAGGGAAUUGUAGGGGAAUUUCUUUGUUUAACUACCUUUUUUCCUGUGAAAGACAGCCACACUCCAGAUUGACUCACUCAGAUGGUAGAUACCACUCAAAACUCUUUUUUCUUUUCUUUUUUCUUCUUCUUCUUUUUUUUUUUAACCAUGACUUCCUUUUAUCUGACUAGAUUGUAUGGGAUUAUAGCUGACUUUUAAAACACUAUCACCUCAACAACAUCCUCCUGUGCCCUUCAGUGUCCUGUGUCACUAUUUGGCAUGUACCCUUUGAAACUGUAUAAUUCACAUGUUUCAUUAUCACUGUCAUUAUCACAGUUCACUUGUGCCACUUGAUGCAGAACUUGAGAAUUGUUAGUCAGGGUUCUCUAGAGAAAUAUACCUACAUGAAGGAGAUUUAUUAUAAGGAAUUGACUCACAUGAUUAUGGGGGCUGAGAAGUUUCAGGACCUGGCAUCUGCAAAGAGGAGACACAAGAAAGCUGGUGUUGUCAUUCAGUCCAAGACCAAAGGCUGGAGAACUGGGGUAGGUGGUGUUGUAAAUUCUAAUUCCAAGGACAGGAGAGGACCUAUAUAUCCCAGCUCAAGCAGGCAGGCAGGAAGGAAAAGGGAUGAAUUCCUCUUUCCUUUCAGGCCUUCAACAAAUCAGAUGAUGCCCAACAAUGCUGGGGAAGACAAUCCAGAGUCCACAGAUUCAAAUGCCAUUGUCAUCCGAAACAACCACCUCACAGACCUAGAAAUGUUUAAUCUGGGCAUCUUGUGGCCUGUCAAGUUGACACACAAAAGUAACCUUCACAAUUAUUUUCCUGCUUCAUUUUUAUUAUGCUAAGAUAAUUGAGACUAUAUGUUAAAUAAUACUAGAUCACAUUAUCCAACAAAUUACACUGCCCAUGGUUUCAUCUUUCUAACAUCUUCAGCAAAAGUGUCAUUUUGGCUAUAUUGAAUCCAAAUAUUCUGAAGGUCAGCCUCAUUGUGCUGCCAUUCCAUGAUAGCACAUGACUGACUGCUGAGGGUAAUGUAAGAUGUACAUAGGCCUUCCCUCUCGUAAGAUCUAAUAGGACACACACUGGGCAGAUUCACUUACCUUAGCAGGUAGACAAAGAACAGUAGAAAGUAUGUCCCUAGGUCUGCCUCAGACUAGCCUUCAGUGUGGAGCCCUCUUUGUGGAAAAGGGGUAAGUUUUUUCCCUCCUCAUGACAGCUCAUUUGGAGGGAAAAAGGCAAGGUGUGUGUGUGUGAAAUUAUAGUGCUCCAGUAAGCCUACUACUCGAAAGGACUGAUUAUCUUGAGCAGACAUGAGAGCAGCUUGUAGGAGUGGAACAGACAGGAAUGAGUGCAACCACUGGCUCACAUGACCCAGACACAAAGCCAUGUCACUUCCUUGGGGUCCUAGGCACAGGCCUCCCAGUGGUCCACAAACUUUCUCCUCUUUUCCUGCCCAUCCCAGAGAAUUUAACUUUCAUUUUCACUCAGCACCUCUGGAUCUGGUGGAGAUCAGCCCCAUGUUGGUGAGAGAAUCCUGACCAUGUCUGCCCCUAGCCCUAGCCUGCCUCCACUCUUCUCCAAGGAGGCACAACUUCUCACCUGGUGUCUGAGGUGUGUGGUAUAGUUUGCAGAGGGCAGAGGUGGGGAGAAGUACUGAAUUUUGGAUGUGAGUUUAACAUGUGGUCAGGAAGCUGCUGUGAAGGGGGGCCAAGCCCAACUUGCAAGCUUCCUGCUGAAAGUGUGGGGGCGGGGGAGGGAGGCAGUGCCUGUAGGUCAAAGGGAGGUUUGAAGGCUUGAAACACUGUUCUUUUAUGGAAGGACCAUUAUUUCUCCAGGUUCAAUCCACCCUGGAGAUUUCCUUUACAUUCUAUAAUUUUGAAUUGCGCCUUGCUGAGAACAAGCCAAAAUCCUUUAUUUUUCAGAGGUAGAAAGUUACUUCUUUCCACAGAAAGAGCAAAGGCAGAGAUAUCUUUAAAUCCUAACAUUUUAAUGCCCAUCCUGUAACACUGUAGCAUUUCUGCAUGAUUCUAGAUAAAUUCUCAUCAUCUUGGCCUGUUUGUGCUUAGGAGCUUGAUGGGCUGACAACUGGCAGGCCCUGCAGCCUCCUUCUAUUCACUCAGGCCAGAAGUUCCUUGAGAAUCACUAACCUUACUCAUCCCUCUCCCAGGGCCAUAACUACCACCCAGGAACAGGUCACCUGAGAGAUCAGGAGCAAGGAGGACACUUUCCAGAUGUGGUAUCUUUUCUAGCUGUUAAUAAACAACAUCAGUUACUUAAUUGGUGUUAAUGAUGUAAAAAGAUGACAGAAGAAGUACUAAGUUAACAAAAUCCUGAGACCUGAAGGGAAGGAAAUUUAGAGCAGAGGGGCCUCUGUUUACUUCUCCCCUUUCUAUGGAAGGUACAGCUGCACCAUCCUUACUCAGGUGGUCUGGAAGACAAAGGUCAGAUCUCUUUUCUCACCCUGACUUCCCUUCCUCUGUUGAAAUCUCACUUUAUCAAAGCUGACUUUGGAGAUUUUACCUCUGCUACAUAUUCUUUGCAUCCCUCUCAGCCAUCCAUCACUGUUUGGCACCUGUCUUCUGAACUCACAGUAUACCUUUGUCAUACCAAUUAUCAUAGAGUUUUAGAUUUGAUUUGUUAUUUUUGUGCUCCAGUUUUCACUUUGCUAGUAUUAUAAGGAAUUUGUAUUAAAUAGUAUCACAUGAUUACCUGGCAAAUGAAACAACACAAUUUCCUUUUCCCGUUUUCUUUUUUUUUUUUCUUUUCCCAUUUUCUUUAAGAAAAGUGACUCUUUCCCAUAUAGCAUCAGUAAUUUGUGGCUUCAUCAUGCUUAGAGAAACAGUUUUUCAGUCAUAAAAGAAGAAAGUUUUGUGUGUAUCCUCAUUGUCUGGAAUUUUGCCUUGUUUUGGUCUUUUUGUGUCUUUUUUUAUUGUCUUUAUCUGUCACCUCUGGGAUAUGCUGAGUUUGUAUUCUUACAAUCUCAGAUGUUGGGAAAAGACCCAAGAAUCGGACGGAGUCAUCUGACAUCUAUGGCAGCCAGCUGACCUGGGAGUUGUAUCAGACAGAUAGCAUUCAUAUUCCCAUAUCUAUCUCCCUGAUUGCUGUGGAGACCUUGGUCAGAGCUUAGGCAGCAGUGUGGUCAUCCUCCAUGUGUGGGGACUCCAGCUCCUCUUUGCCGAUUCCUCCUCCUGUGCCUAUUGUGACGGCAGAUGCUUUGAUAUUGGCUCCUUAUAGCCCCACUGUGAAAAUAAAUCCCAUAACCCCAUAGCUGAAUGCAUGCCCUGCUGCUCCUUCCUGUAGAAGUUUCUUGAUGCUUCUCUGCAUUGGUUGGAUCUUGAGUGAAAUGAGAAAUAAUUGGAGUCCUCAUCCCAUGUCUGUAUCAUAGUUUGAGUCAUAAACAGGGAUAGAUAUUAUCAUAUAAUAGGUAGAGAUUAUAUACUAUCUAUCCCUGAUAUAAUGUCUACUUCUGAGCCUGCUGUUCAUCAGAGCCUUGUGUGACCCACAGUCUCUGCAGCUGCGAGCUUACUUCAUAUGGUCUUUGAACUAUUUUCAGUACCUGUACCAUUAGCUGGAUUACAUUUGCAAUGCAUGUCAGCCUCAUUCUUGUCAGGUUCCCUUUAUUCAGGAUGAAUAUGGCCUAAGUGGACCAUUUUGGUAGAUUUAAAUUUAUCUCCAUGCUGCCUCGAUAGCUUUUCCCUCCUUAUGUGGAGCAAAGGCAGCCUUACUGGUUGUCUCAUACUGGAGAUCUUUCUUUGAUCAUCAAACUCUGGCAACCUUAAUAUAUACUGAGAUCUUCCCUUUAUGGUUUUUGUUUUUGCUUUCACAUGCCCUCAUGUGCCUGGAGCUCCUAACAGAAGCUGUGAAUAUAGACUCUGGCCACAGGACCAUACUGAGUUCAGAGGGGGUGGUGAUCUGCUCCAUCUGCCUGGUCCUCCUGAGAUAACCACCGAGCCUGGAAUGUGGCCACAGCUUCUGUAAAGCCUGCUUUACUGCAGACAACAAGGAGUCCAUGCCAAGCCAAGGAGGGAAGAACAGAAAUUUCCCUGUAUGCUGCAUCAGUUACUGUGCUGCGGACCUGCGGCCUAACUGGCAUGUGGUCGACAUAGUAGAGUGGCUCAGAGAGCCCAAGGUGAGCCAUGAGGAGGGCCAGAAGAGAAAUCUCUGUGAGCACCACAAAGAGAAACUCUUGUUCUUCUGUAAGGAGGAUGGGAAAGUCAUUUGCUGGCUUUGUGAGUGGUCUCAGGAGCACCAUGGUCUCCACAUGGUCCCAAUGGAGAAAGUUGCCCAGGAGUACCAGGUAAGAGACCAGGAUGGAGCGAAUAUAGGGCAGAAAAUGGUAUUUGAGGAGAUAUCUCCACUUUGCAUCCAACUUUAAUUACCUUGUCAUCAUAGACUCGAGGCCUGUGAUAUCUUUUCCUUCUAUCCUCGCCUUCCAAGGCCUGAAGAACAUUUUUCUUGGCCUGAAGAAACUUUUUGCACAUUCCAUUAAAUUACAAAAGGAUAAAGAUUUAGCCAAAAGUAGAUAGUUUUGUACCUUAUGCUAGACCGGUGAAGACUUAGUGUCCAAGUAACGCCCUCAUUACCCUGUUGAACAGGAGGGUAUAUUGAGAUGUAAGUUCCUUCUUUGCUGCAGGAUUUGGUUUGUUCUAAUAGUACAAAGAGAAUCAGUUCUCUUUUAAUGAGGGGAUGAUGACAUCUAUUGCCCAAGUCUUAACACAUUCACCAUGUUAAGUUUUCCUCCAAGUCGUGGAUUCUAACUGCUGUUCUCACUGAUUCUGUAAACUUUAGUCUCUUUGGAGAUUGGCCUGAUAUCUUCCCCAUUUAUUCUCUGUGCUGUUGCUGAAAAAUCUCACAGCUUGACUCUGGUGUAACUCUUCUCUCAUAAGAGAAACUCCAAGCGGCUCUGCAGAAACUGAGGAAGAAGUAGCAGGAAGCUGAGAUGUUGGAAGCUGUCAUCAGAGAAGAGAAUACUUUCUGCAAGCGGAUGAAACAGAAUCCUGCCAAAAGUUAUUUCCAUUUCUUUUUGCAGAGGUGAUCUCGGCUAAUGGUAAGUUAUAUUUGCUUUUCUGUCUGUUUAUCUUUGGUUGUUCACACAAGUGUAUACCAUGAACAAGCUGGCCGUGGCGAAUGGCAAUUUUCUCCGAUUUUCCCAUCUUUGAUCUUAAAACCUCUCUUCUGAACGAGGGUUGGCCGGGCGCCGGGGCGGCAGCGGGCCAGGGAACGGGCUCGCUUCCUCAGGUUGGGCUGCCCCGCGGGCACUGGGUGUUAUUCUGUAUGUUGGUAAAUUGAACACCAAUAAAAAAUUAAUUUAUUAAAAAAAAAACAUAAAAAAAAAAAAAAAGAAAAGGAGGAAGAGAAGCCAGCGAUUGCGGGGCGGGGCGGCGGCUGAGAGCCCGAGUGCAGCGUGGACCAUGGUUCGGGCGGUGGCGGCGCAGCAACCUAAACAAAUAUUUCUAAUAUAAAGUGUUAAGUUUUCCUAUUUCUGUGUGUUUUCUUUCUUUCUUUCUUUCUUUCUUUCUUUCUUUCUUUCUUUCUUUCUUUCUUUCUUUCUUUCUUUCUUU
Canis lupus familiaris (dog) is the source of this 5579-nucleotide long non-coding RNA. RefSeq lists it as uncharacterized. The transcript is spliced from 3 exons. The record is from RefSeq and is a predicted model, not a curated record. NCBI's taxonomy places the organism in Eukaryota, Metazoa, Chordata, Mammalia, Carnivora, Canidae.